ACGGGAGGCAGCAGUGGGGGAUAUUGCACAAUGGAGGAAACUCUGAUGCAGCAAUGCCGCGUGAGGGAAGACGGUCUUCGGAUUGUAAACCUCUGUCCUUGGUGAAGAUAAUGACGGUAGCCAAGGAGGAAGCUCCGGCUAACUACGUGCCAGCAGCCGCGGUAAUACGUAGGGAGCAAGCGUUGUCCGGAUUUACUGGGUGUAAAGGGUGCGUAGGCGGCUUUUUAAGUCGGGCGUGAAAGCUGUGGGCUUAACCCACAAAUUGCGUUCGAAACUGGAAGGCUUGAGUGAAGUAGAGGUAGGCGGAAUUCCCGGUGUAGCGGUGAAAUGCGUAGAGAUCGGGAGGAACACCAGUGGCGAAGGCGGCCUACUGGGCUUUAACUGACGCUGAGGCACGAAAGCAUGGGUAGCAAACAGGAUUAGAUACCCUGGUA
RNAcentral lists this ribosomal RNA (434 nucleotides) under uncultured Oscillospiraceae bacterium. RNAcentral describes it as "bacterial SSU rRNA". It matches the Rfam family "Bacterial small subunit ribosomal RNA", at positions 341 to 792 of the family's 1533-position model. Lineage: Bacteria; Bacillati; Bacillota; Clostridia; Eubacteriales; Oscillospiraceae. The record is from RNAcentral.